AGAGCGGACGCUGGCGGCAGGCCUAACACAUGCAAGUCGAGCGCCCGUAGCAAUACGGGAGCGGCAGACGGGAUAGUAACACGUGGGAACGCGCCCUUCGGUUCGGAAUAACUCAGGGAAACUUGAGCUAAUACCGGAUACGCCCUUACGGGGAAAGAUUUAUUGCCGAAGGAACGGCCCGCGUCCGAUUAGCUAGUUGGUGAGGUAAUGGCUCACCAAGGCGACGAUCGGUAGCUGGUCUGAGAGGGUGACCAGCAUCACUGGGACUGAGACACGGCCCAGACUCCUACGGGAGGCAGCAGUGGGGAAUAUUGGACAAUGGGCGCAAGCCUGAUCCAGCCAUGCCGCGUGGAUGAUGAAGGCCUUAGGGUUGUAAAGUCCUUUUAACGGGGAAGAUAAUGACGGUACCCGUAGAAUAAGCCCCGGCUAACUUCGUGCCAGCAGCCGC
This 448-nucleotide ribosomal RNA is filed under the name uncultured bacterium. RNAcentral's name for it is "SSU rRNA". It matches the Rfam family "Bacterial small subunit ribosomal RNA", at positions 26 to 518 of the family's 1533-position model. The record is from RNAcentral.